GUGAACUCGAAGAGUAGGGCGGGACACGUGGUAUCCUGUCUGAAUAUGGGGGGACCAUCCUCCAAGGCUAAAUACUCCUGACUGACCGAUAGUGAACCAGUACCGUGAGGGAAAGGCGAAAAGAACCCCGGCGAGGGGAGUGAAAAAGAACCUGAAACCGUGUACGUACAAGCAGUGGGAGCACCUUCGGGUGUGACUGCGUACCUUUUGUAUAAUGGGUCAGCGACUUAUAUUCUGUAGCAAGGUUAACCGUAUAGGGGAGCCGCAGGGAAACCGAGUCUUAACUGGGCGUUAAGUUGCAGGGUAUAGACCCGAAACCCGGUGAUCUAGCCAUGGGCAGGUUGAAGGUUGGGUAACACUAACUGGAGGACCGAACCGACUAAUGUUGAAAAAUUAGCGGAUGACUUGUGGCUGGGGGUGAAAGGCCAAUCAAACCGGGAGAUAGCUGGUUCUCCCCGAAAGCUAUUUAGGUAGCGCCUCGUGAACUCAUCUUCGGGGGUAGAGCACUGUUUCGGCUAGGGGGUCAUCCCGACUUACCAACCCGAUGCAAACUACGAAUACCGAAGAAUGUUAUCACGGGAGACACACGGCGGGUGCUAACGUCCGUCGUGAAGAGGGAAACAACCCAGACCGCCAGCUAAGGUCCCAAAGUCAUGGUUAAGUGGGAAACGAUGUGGGAAGGCACAGACAGCCAGGAUGUUGGCUUAGAAGCAGCCAUCAUUUAAAGAAAGCGUAAUAGCUCACUGGUCGAGUCGGCCUGCGCGGAAGAUGUAACGGGGCUAAACCAUGCACCGAAGCUGCGGCAGCGACACUAUGUGUUGUUGGGUAGGGGAGCGUUCUGUAAGCCUGCGAAGGUGGCCUGUGAGGGUUGCUGGAGGUAUCAGAAGUGCGAAUGCUGACAUAAGUAACGAUAAAGCGGGUGAAAAGCCCGCUCGCCGGAAGACCAAGGGUUCCUGUCCAACGUUAAUCGGGGCAGGGUGAGUCGACCCCUAAGGCGAGGCCGAAAGGCGUAGUCGAUGGGAAACAGGUUAAUAUUCCUGUACUUGGUGUUACUGCGAAGGGGGGACGGAGAAGGCUAUGUUAGCCGGGCGACGGUUGUCCCGGUUUAAGCAUGUAGGCUGGUUAUCCAGGCAAAUCCGGAUAAUCAAGGCUGAGGUGUGAUGACGAGGCACUACGGUGCUGAAGUAACAAAUGCCCUGCUUCCAGGAAAAGCCUCUAAGCAUCAGGUAACAUCAAAUCGUACCCCAAACCGACACAGGUGGUCAGGUAGAGAAUACCAAGGCGCUUGAGAGAACUCGGGUGAAGGAACUAGGCAAAAUGGUGCCGUAACUUCGGGAGAAGGCACGCUGGUGUGUAGGUGAAGCCCCUGCGGGUGGAGCUGAGACCAGUCGAAGAUACCAGCUGGCUGCAACUGUUUAUUAAAAACACAGCACUGUGCAAACACGAAAGUGGACGUAUACGGUGUGACGCCUGCCCGGUGCCGGAAGGUUAAUUGAUGGGGUUAUCCGUAAGGAGAAGCUCUUGAUCGAAGCCCCGGUAAACGGCGGCCGUAACUAUAACGGUCCUAAGGUAGCGAAAUUCCUUGUCGGGUAAGUUCCGACCUGCACGAAUGGCGUAAUGAUGGCCAGGCUGUCUCCACCCGAGACUCAGUGAAAUUGAACUCGCUGUGAAGAUGCAGUGUACCCGCGGCAAGACGGAAAGACCCCGUGAACCUUUACUAUAGCUUGACACUGAACAUUGAGCCUUGAUGUGUAGGAUAGGUGGGAGGCUUUGAAGCGUGGACGCCAGUCUGCGUGGAGCCAACCUUGAAAUACCACCCUUUAAUGUUUGAUGUUCUAACGUUGGCCCCUUAUCGGGGUUGCGGACAGUGUCUGGUGGGUAGUUUGACUGGGGCGGUCUCCUCCCAAAGCGUAACGGAGGAGCACGAAGGUUAGCUAAUCCUGGUCGGACAUCAGGAGGUUAGUGCAAUGGCAUAAGCUAGCUUGACUGCGAGCGUGACGGCGCGAGCAGGUGCGAAAGCAGGUCAUAGUGAUCCGGUGGUUCUGAAUGGAAGGGCCAUCGCUCAACGGAUAAAAGGUACUCCGGGGAUAACAGGCUGAUACCGCCCAAGAGUUCAUAUCGACGGCGGUGUUUGGCACCUCGAUGUCGGCUCAUCACAUCCUGGGGCUGAAGUAGGUCCCAAGGGUAUGGCUGUUCGCCAUUUAAAGUGGUACGCGAGCUGGGUUUAGAACGUCGUGAGACAGUUCGGUCCCUAUCUGCCGUGGGCGCUGGAGAAUUGAGGGGGGCUGCUCCUAGUACGAGAGGACCGGAGUGGACGCAUCACUGGUGUUCGGGUUGUCAUGCCAAUGGCACUGCCCGGUAGCUAAAUGCGGAAGAGAUAAGUGCUGAAAGCAUCUAAGCACGAAACUUGCCCCGAGAUGAGUUCUCCCUGAGACUUUAAGUCUCCUGAAGGAACGUUGAAGACGACGACGUUGAUAGGCCGGGUGUGUAAGCGCAGCGAUGCGUUGAGCUAACCGGUACUAAUGAACCGUGAGGCUUAACC
Molecule: ribosomal RNA, 2542 nt
Filed under: Klebsiella quasipneumoniae subsp. similipneumoniae
Lineage: Bacteria; Pseudomonadati; Pseudomonadota; Gammaproteobacteria; Enterobacterales; Enterobacteriaceae
Description: bacterial LSU rRNA
Rfam family: Bacterial large subunit ribosomal RNA
Source: RNAcentral